AAACUUACCUGGCAGGGAGGCUCACGAAGGAGGGUCACCCAGUGAGGCUCUGACGCUGAACUGAAAUCACCCAAAGGUGAGAAGCUCAACUAGAUAAAUCCUGGUAGCAGGGGACUGCAUUUGCACCCUCCCG
This 133-nucleotide small nuclear RNA is filed under the name Paramormyrops kingsleyae. RNAcentral describes it as "U1 spliceosomal RNA (ENSPKIG00000008468.1)". The record is from RNAcentral. Lineage: Eukaryota; Metazoa; Chordata; Actinopteri; Osteoglossiformes; Mormyridae.